AACGAACGCUGGCGGCGUGCCUAAGACAUGCAAGUCGUGCGGAAAGGCUCCUUCGGGAGUACUCGAGCGGCGCACGGGUGAGUAACACGUGGGUAAUCUACCUGAGGGUCUGGGAUAACUCCGGGAAACUGGGGCUAAUACCGGAUGAGACCACAGCGUCUUUGGACGCAGCGGUCAAAGAUGGCCUCUCCUUGGAAGCUAUCGCCUACAGAUGAGCCCGNGUCCCAUAGCUAGUUGGCGGGUAACGGCCCACCAAGGCGACGAUGGGUAGCUGGUCUGAGAGGAUGAUCAGCCACACUGGAACUGAGACACGGUCCAGACUCCUACGGNGGCAGCAGUCGGGAAUUUUGGCAAUGGCGAAAGCCUGACCCAGCAACGCCGCGUGAGGGA
This 390-nucleotide ribosomal RNA is filed under the name uncultured bacterium. RNAcentral describes it as "bacterial SSU rRNA". It matches the Rfam family "Bacterial small subunit ribosomal RNA", at positions 29 to 408 of the family's 1533-position model. The record is from RNAcentral.